CGAGAGGAAGUAGCAAUACUUUAGUAAAGCGGCGCACGGGUGAGUAACACGUGGAUAACCUGCCUCGAAGUGGGGAAUAACCUCGGGAAACCGGAGCUAAUACCGCAUAAUCUGACGAGAUCUGUGGAUUUUGUCAGCAAAGGAGCAAUUCGCUUUGAGAGGGGUCCGCGGCUGAUUAGCUAGUUGGUGAGGUAAUGGCUCACCAAGGCCACGAUCAGUAGCCGGUCUGAGAGGACGGUCGGCCACACUGGAACUGAGACACGGUCCAGACUCCUACGGGAGGCAGCAGUGGGGAAUUUUUCGCAAUGGGGGCAACCCUGACGAAGCAACGCCGCGUGGGUGAUGAAGUAUUUCGGUACGUAAAACCCUUUCGACGGGGACGAAACCGCAAGGUUGACGGUACCCGUAGAAGAAGCCCCGGCUAACUCCGUGCCAGCAGCCGCGGUAAUACGGGGGGGGCAAGCGUUGUUCGGAAUUACUGGGCGUAAAGGGCGCGUAGGCGGUUUGCUAAGUUGGAUGUGAAAACUCUGGGCUUAACCCAGAGCCUGCAUCCAAAACUGGCAAACUUGAGUACUGGAGGGGAAAGCGGAAAUUCCUGGUGUAGCGGUGAAAUGCGUAGAUAUCAGGAGGAACACCGGUGGCGAAGGCGGCUUUCUGGACAGUAACUGACGCUGAGGCGCGAAAGCUAGGGGAGCAACCAGGAUUAGAUACCCUGGUAGUCCUAGCCCUAAACGAUGGAUACUUGGUGUGAGGGGGAUUGAAUCCCUUCGUGCCGUAGCUAACGCAAUAAGUA
This 793-nucleotide ribosomal RNA is filed under the name uncultured Bacillota bacterium. RNAcentral describes it as "bacterial SSU rRNA". It matches the Rfam family "Bacterial small subunit ribosomal RNA", at positions 67 to 866 of the family's 1533-position model. Lineage: Bacteria; Bacillati; Bacillota. The record is from RNAcentral.